This 316-nucleotide long non-coding RNA is filed under the name Mytilus galloprovincialis (Mediterranean mussel). The record is from RNAcentral. Lineage: Eukaryota; Metazoa; Mollusca; Bivalvia; Mytilida; Mytilidae.
UGCAAGGUCCUCAUGCCCGUCAGACAGUUUUCACUUGACCUCGACCUCAUUUCAUGGAUCAGUGAACAAGGUUAAGUUUUGGUGGUCAAGUCCAUAUCCCAGAUACUAUAAGCAAUAGGUCUAGUAUAUUCGGUGUAUGGAAGGACUGUAAGGUGUACAUGUCCAACUGGUAGGUGUCAUCUGACCUUGACCUCAUUUUCAUGGUUCAGUGGUUAUAGUUAAGUUUUUGUGUUUUGGUCUGUUUUUCUCAUACUUUAUGCAAUAGAUCUACUAUAUUUGUUGUAUGGAAUGAUUGUAAGAUGUACAUGUCUAGCAG